UACGGAGGGAGCUAGCGUUGUUCGGAAUUACUGGGCGUAAAGCGCACGUAGGCGGCUAUUCAAAUCGGGGGUGAAAGCCCGGGGCUCAACCCCGGAACUGCCCUCGAAACUAGAUAGCUAGAAUCUUGGAGAGGCGAGUGGAAUUCCGAGUGUAGAGGUGAAAUUCGUAGAUAUUCGGAAGAACACCAGUGGCGAAGGCGACUCGCUGGACAAGUAUUGACGCUGAGGUGCGAAAGCGUGGGGAGCAAACAGG
Molecule: ribosomal RNA, 253 nt
Filed under: uncultured bacterium
Lineage: Bacteria
Description: partial 16S ribosomal RNA
Rfam family: Bacterial small subunit ribosomal RNA
Source: RNAcentral